This is an RNA transcript of Lotus japonicus, 1702 nucleotides long. It is a transcript of the gene named serine/arginine-rich splicing factor SR30-like, with no coding region annotated. The transcript has 15 exons. NCBI's taxonomy places the organism in Eukaryota, Viridiplantae, Streptophyta, Magnoliopsida, Fabales, Fabaceae. The record is from RefSeq and is a predicted model, not a curated record.
UCUCUCGUACACGUACUCACCUCAGUGCUUCUUCCAGAACCAUCGUUUUCCAUUCUUCGCAUCUCUCACUCUCUUCUCAAUUCUCAUCUUCUUCACAGGAAAGAAAAUGAGCAGCCGGUCAAGCCGAACAAUUUAUGUUGGCAACCUCCCUGGCGAUAUUCGCUUGAGAGAAGUAGAGGAUAUUUUCUACAAGUUUGGUCCUAUUGUUGACAUUGAUUUGAAGAUUCCUCCAAGACCACCAGGUUAUGCUUUUGUUCAGUUUGAGGAUGCUCGUGAUGCUGAAGAUGCAAUCUACUAUCGAGAUGGUUACGAUUUUGAUGGUUUUCGGUUACGAGUUGAACUUGCACAUGGGGGACGGGGUUCUUCAUCAUCAGUAGACCGUUACAGUAGUUAUAGUGGUGGCAGCAGUAGCCGUGGAGCUUCCAGGCGUUCUGACUAUCGUGUUCUGGUGACUGGAUUACCUCCUUCCGCCUCAUGGCAAGACCUGAAAGAUCACAUGCGUAAAGCUGGUGAUGUGUGUUUCUCUCAAGUUUUCCGUGAGCGUGGAGGCAUGACUGGGAUAGUAGACUACACCAAUUAUGAUGAUAUGAGAUAUGCCUUAAGGAAACUUGAUGACUCAGAAUUUCGAAAUGCCUUCUCUCGAGCGUACAUACGGGUGAGGGAAUAUGAUCGGGAUUAUUCUAGAAGCCCCAGUCGUGACUCUAGGAGAAGCUAUUCUCGAAGCAUCAGCCGCAGUCCAUAUUUAUCACGAAGUCGAAGCCGAAGUCGUAGCUAUAGUGGCAGGAGUAUAAGUUUGUCUCCAAAUGCAAAACACUCUCGACGUUCGUUAUCUCUUUCAAGAUGUGGCCUUUUGCGGGGAUCUGGGAACUGCAUGUUAGGAUCUUGAUGGCAUGUGGUGCUCAAACGCCCGCGACUUUGUGGUCUAAGGUAAUAAUUGUUUUGUUGAUGAGCACCUGUGGAACACAUUAAUGCUAUGACUAAUGAUAAUGGUAAUGAUGUAUUGAUGAAAGGCAUGGUCUGCGAUUGUUGUACACUGGAUGACAGUUGAUGGAUGUGUUGCAAUCUAAAAGCUGGAUCACCAUGAACUAAAUGCUAUUGAUUGAUUCCAACAAAUGCAAAUCAGCAGUAUUACAGUUCAAAAACUACGACAUAACCUGUGCUCUAAGUUCUGGGUCAAUCUCAUCCUUGUUUUUAGGAUUUGUCUUAUUGUUCUAUAUAUGGUUGUAUCUUCACGAUACUUGGUUCAAAGGUCCCAGUCAAGAUCCAGAUCUCCAAAUUCAUCUCCUCGACUUCGUCAGAGUCGCAGUCCAAGCAAAAGUCCAAGGAGUCCGUAACAAUCUCAUUUGGCUUAAGUGGAAUUUGUACGCAGCUGAACUAAUAAAUCUGGAGACAACUACUGAACAUGCAUUUCCUGUGCUGCAUUUUAAUGGCGACUUGAAAAUUAGCAUAUUCAAGACCUGAUAUAGCUCUGUAGCUCUAUCUAGAUUUAUAUUUGAAUUCAAAAUUGGAUUGAAGAAGCCGUGAAACAAACCUAUUUGUGCAUUUAAAUUUGAAGUGGAUGGUUCGAAAGAACUGAAGUUACCUAUAUUAUGAACUGCAUGGCGGCUGUGUUGCAUUCUAACAUGCCCUGGGAUUUUAGUACUCUAACGGUGAUAUUGGAGUGGCUAGUUAUUAUGUUUUAAUAAAUGCCAAAACUUUUCUA